This 966-nucleotide ribosomal RNA is filed under the name uncultured Hypocreales. RNAcentral describes it as "eukaryotic LSU rRNA". The stretch from base 324 to 966 matches the Rfam family "Eukaryotic large subunit ribosomal RNA", at positions 1 to 667 of the family's 3401-position model. Lineage: Eukaryota; Fungi; Ascomycota; Sordariomycetes; Hypocreales. The record is from RNAcentral.
AAAACUUUCAACAACGGAUCUCUUGGUUCUGGCAUCGAUGAAGAACGCAGCGAAAUGCGAUAAGUAAUGUGAAUUGCAGAAUUCAGUGAAUCAUCGAAUCUUUGAACGCACAUUGCGCCCGCCAGUAUUCUGGCGGGCAUGCCUGUUCGAGCGUCAUUUCAACCCUCAGGCCCCCGCCUGGCGUUGGGGAUCGGCGCGGCCCUCUCCGGGCUGCCGGCCCCGAAAACUAGUGGCGGUCUCGCUGUAGUCCUCCUCUGCGCAGUAGCAACGCUCGCACUGGAACUCGGCGCGGCCACGCCGUAAAACACCCCACUUCUGAAAGUUGACCUCGGAUCAGGUAGGAAUACCCGCUGAACUUAAGCAUAUCAAUAAGCGGAGGAAAAGAAACCAACAGGGAUUGCCCUAGUAGCGGCGAGUGAAGCGGCAACAGCUCAAAUUUGAAAUCUGGCUCUCGGGCCCGAGUUGUAAUUUGUAGAGGAUACUUUUGAUGCGGUGCCUUCCGAGUUCCCUGGAACGGGACGCCAUAGAGGGUGAGAGCCCCGUCUGGUUGGAUGCCAAAUCUCUGUAAAGUUCCUUCAACGAGUCGAGUAGUUUGGGAAUGCUGCUCUAAAUGGGAGGUAUAUGUCUUCUAAAGCUAAAUACCGGCCAGAGACCGAUAGCGCACAAGUAGAGUGAUCGAAAGAUGAAAAGCACUUUGAAAAGAGAGUUAAAAAGUACGUGAAAUUGUUGAAAGGGAAGCGUUUAUGACCAGACUUGGGCUUGGUUAAUCAUCUGGGGUUCUCCCCAGUGCACUUUUCCAGUCCAGGCCAGCAUCAGUUUUCCCCGGGGGAUAAAGGCGGCGGGAAUGUGGCUCUCUUCGGGGAGUGUUAUAGCCCACCGUGUAAUACCCUGGGGGGGACUGAGGUUCGCGCAUCUGCAAGGAUGCUGGCGUAAUGGUCAUCAACGACCCGUCUUGAAACACGGACC